AAGUCGUAACAAGGUCUCCGUUGGUGAACCAGCGGAGGGAAUCAUUACCGAGUCGUAAAAAAGCUCCCAAACCCAUGUGAACUUACCUAUGUUGCCUCGGCAGGACCUACCCGGGGACCUACCCUUGUAGCUACCUUGUAGCCUGCCGGGUGGACAUCUAAACUCUUGUUUUUUUGAUAGAAAGUCUGAACGUCUUAUUAAAUAAGUCAAAAU
RNAcentral lists this unclassified non-coding RNA (213 nucleotides) under plant metagenome. RNAcentral's name for it is "partial contains small subunit ribosomal RNA and internal transcribed spacer 1". The record is from RNAcentral.